UACGGAGGAUGCGAGCGUUAUCCGGAUUUAUUGGGUUUAAAGGGUGCGUAGGCGGCUUUUUAAGUCAGCGGUGAAAUUUUGUCAGCUUAACUGUAACAGUGCCGUUGAUACUGGGGAGCUAGGAUUUGGUUGCUGUGGGUGGAAUGUGUGGUGUAGCGGUGAAAUGCUUAGAGAUCACACAGAAUAUCGAUUGCGAAGGCAGCUCACAAAGCCAAGAUUGACGCUGAGGCACGAAAGCGUGGGGAUCAAACAGGAUUAGA
Molecule: ribosomal RNA, 260 nt
Filed under: uncultured prokaryote
Description: partial 16S ribosomal RNA
Rfam family: Bacterial small subunit ribosomal RNA
Source: RNAcentral